GGAGUGUUUGAAGUGGGACAGCAGGAGAAUGAAGAAGUGGAGAGAAGGAAGCUUUCACAAUAGCUGGGUGCCCCCCCCCCCCCCCGAACAUAGGCCACCAGCUCUCCUACUAAAUUUCCAUAUCCGUUUUCAGUACCAGGAAUUAAUGGAGGACUUCAGGGAGGUUCUCACCGUGGAUACUGGGUUCGCAAAGCAUUUGCAUGGUGGUUAAUUGUCGCUGUCCGGCUGGGUGGCCGAUGAAGCUGGGGAAAAGGUACAGAAUCUCAGGAGCCAAUAAAGGAAGAGGUUAGGACAAGAUAGAGUGUAGCUCGCAGCUACUGCCGGCUCUUCUAAAACCAGGUAGCGCCAUGGGCUAUGCGCUGGGUCUGCAGCGCAGUCCCAGAAGAUAAUAUGGCGGCAAAGAGACUGAGGGGAAAGACCCCAGUUAAGGCGGCAGCACUCCUGGCAACCAGGUCGGCUUGGUGGCAUUUGCCCUCACAGCGGCUGAGGGCUUCAGCUGCCUAAAAAGCCAUUUGCUCAGCUUGCCCUGUCUGGCAACUUCUAUGCAUUUAAAGGGUCCUUGCUGGUUUCUGAGGCACCCCCUCUACCCCCGAAUCCUCCGGCAGACAUCGUCUUCCGAAGACGAGGGAAGCUCCUGGGAGACAUUCGCCCCAUCGUCUGCCUCUAAGCUACUGCUAUAACCUUCCCACAGCAGUCAGGAUCAGUUGGCAGAUCCCUAAAUUAAGGUUCUGAUUACUCUGUUGUUCCAGAGGCUUGUUUUGAGCAAGAUGCUGUGCUUUAAUUAAAAAGAUGAGCGCUCAUGAGUAAGUGAAAAUAUUUUCGACGCUUCACAAAUAUGUUUGACUUUCAUUUUCUUGCAUGUCACAGUAGGGGUGGGGGGGGUCAGGCUGGUCAGCACUUUUAUCCAUGAGGCCAAUAAAAACCUUUCCUGUUAGCUAACAGCUGGCUCUUUGCACAGCAGAAUUGUAAAGGGGGUUCGAAGUCCGGAAUCUGUUCCUUGGGCGUCUCUGUUUGCAGAUUUCCGCCAGCAUUCAGGUGUCAUUAGGACACAUUUCUCAUUUACCUUUGCAGCCAGAGAUUCUGAAAUGUUUCCUAACAGCAGCGCCACAGCUGGAAUGCAGCUGCUGCAGGGUGGAGCCAACACAAACUCCUUAUGGGUCAGCCGGGUGAGGGAGGGCAAGGAAUCUUGGAAGGUUGGGAAAGUCCUUCUUUCUAAAGCCAGAGCUCAGGAAUGAGUGGGGCCUCUGGUGUGAAAGCUUUCCAGAUGGGGGAAGGAAGGGUAAGUUUUUGCCCUCUGGGUAGAUUCCAAAAAAUCGCUUUGGGGAGGCCAACUAUUUUGAAACUGCCUUUAAAGCAAACAGCACAAAUGUUUAUAUUGACCUGGAAAACCCUUCCUUUUUCCUUUCCCUACAAUCCAAGUCUGUUCCCUUGAAUAUUAAUCAACAGGAACGUUUGCCCAAGCUUUUCUCCUCCCCCACCUCUUUUAUUAUUAUUAUUAUUAUCUUUGGUUCAAAAAACUUUUGGAAGCUUUUCCAGGCUGGAGCUAUAGAAUGCUUCCAGGAAAAUGCAUAAGGAGUGUCUGUAUUUUGUGUUUCUCUGGAGGGGGCUAACCGUGUUUUUCAGAGAGACUGAGCUGGGGGCAGCCAGGUCUUGUGCAAGUGGCCAGCCAAGCAAAAGGGCAAACGGUACCAGAAAGAUCUGUGCACAUCCCAAAGCACUGAAACGAAGUCCCUAAGGUAUGUAGGAAGAAGAAUUAGUGUUCAUACACACACUAACGAGCGAGUGACACAGCAAGGAGCGAGUGUCCACUGCGAGGCCCCACCCAGCUCCUAAGGGUGGUCAGCAGGUCACGGCAAGCGGGAGAUGCAAUGCUAAUGACUCCGGCUCCACGUGGCAACCAUUCAGGAAAAAGCUGCAAUGUUCUCUCUGCCACAUUAAUCAGAGAAACACAUCAAGAGCUGUUGCGUGGAGACAGCUUUCCUCCCAGUACCUGCCCUGCAUACUAAUCACCACCCGCUCCUGGCGGAAGCACUGGUGAGAAGGUGGAUCCUGUGGCUGGGGAAGUACCUCCAUCCUCAACGCCGGGAAAUGAACUUAGGAUAGAAACUUCUCCUUAUCCUCAAGAAGCAUCCCAGUAAAACACCAGCAGCAGCAGGUGGCUACGACCCACUGAGUCGCGAGCUGGCCGGGUGUCAACACUGCGAGCACCUGAAGCCAGGUUCAUCGCAGGAGAGGGACAGGGUGAAGUUCCCUAGCUGAGCCUGGACGAACUGGAGGUGGCCGCACCUGCUUGCAGAGGUGUCAGCAUAGAAUAGAUCAGAGUUGGUGACGACCAAACAGCCUUGUUGGGCUCCUUCCCAUGCACCUCCCCUGCUGCAGGCCGCCCCCCUCAAAGGGGCUUCACCCCACAGGCUGUCUCCGCAGGGUCUACUGGACGACCUGGCCGCCAGAGCAGGGGAUGCAGGUCAGAAGGCCAGGAUGGAUGUUGGGUUGUUACUGGUCCGCUCCAACGUCACGGGGGCCUUUGAUAUGGAUCCAGGUCACGUCCAACUCUCCCAGCCAGGGUUCCUCCUUCAAAAGAAAAAACUAAGAGACCUUGGAGGAACUCACUGUCCCAAAAAGUGCAGUAAGGAGUGGGAACUUGCAGAAGGCUCUGGUAGAUGAGGGAGUUAGACAAGGAGCACAGAGGAAAGGAGGGUACUUUUCUUUUUCUUUUUAAUAUUUAUCUAUUUGGUUGCACCGGGUCUUAGUUGUGGCUCGUGGGCUCCUUAGUUGUGGCAUGCGAACUCUUUAGUU
This is a long non-coding RNA of Aethalodelphis obliquidens (Pacific white-sided dolphin), 2796 nucleotides long. RefSeq lists it as uncharacterized. The transcript is spliced from 4 exons. The record is from RefSeq and is a predicted model, not a curated record. Lineage: Eukaryota; Metazoa; Chordata; Mammalia; Artiodactyla; Delphinidae.